RNAcentral lists this ribosomal RNA (253 nucleotides) under uncultured bacterium. RNAcentral describes it as "partial 16S ribosomal RNA". It matches the Rfam family "Bacterial small subunit ribosomal RNA", at positions 524 to 776 of the family's 1533-position model. The record is from RNAcentral.
UACAGAGGUCUCAAGCGUUGUUCGGAUUCAUUGGGCGUAAAGGGUGCGCAGGCGGCCGUGUGUGUGAGGCGUGAAAGCCUGGAGCUUAACUCCAGAAUUGCACCUCAAACUACAUGGCUAGAGCAUUGGAGAGGGUAGCAGAAUUCACGGUGUAGCAGUGAAAUGCGUAGAUAUCGUGAGGAAUACCAGAGGCGAAGGCGGCUACCUGGACAAUUGCUGACGCUCAGGCACGAAAGCGUGGGGAGCGAACAGG